UCAGCAUGUGUGUUAGUGGAAGCGUCUGGAAAGGCGCGCGAUACAGGGUGACAGCCCCGUACACAAAAGUGCAUGUGCUGUGAGCUCGAUGAGUAGGGCGGGACACGUGGUAUCCUGUCUGAAUAUGGGGGGACCAUCCUCCAAGGCUAAAUACUCCUGACUGACCGAUAGUGAACCAGUACCGUGAGGGAAAGGCGAAAAGAACCCCGGCGAGGGGAGUGAAAAAGAACCUGAAACCGUGUACGUACAAGCAGUGGGAGCACAGGUUUACCUGUGUGACUGCGUACCUUUUGUAUAAUGGGUCAGCGACUUAUAUUCUGUAGCAAGGUUAACCGUAUAGGGGAGCCGUAGGGAAACCGAGUCUUAACCGGGCGUUAAGUUGCAGGGUAUAGACCCGAAACCCGGUGAUCUAGCCAUGGGCAGGUUGAAGGUUGGGUAACACUAACUGGAGGACCGAACCGACUAAUGUUGAAAAAUUAGCGGAUGACCUGUGGCUGGGGGUGAAAGGCCAAUCAAACCGGGAGAUAGCUGGUUCUCCCCGAAAGCUAUUUAGGUAGCGCCUCGUGAACUCAUCUCCGGGGGUAGAGCACUGUUUCGGCUAGGGGGCCAUCCCGGCUUACCAACCCGAUGCAAACUGCGAAUACCGGAGAAUGUUAUCACGGGAGACACACGGCGGGUGCUAACGUCCGUCGUGAAGAGGGAAACAACCCAGACCGCCAGCUAAGGUCCCAAAGUCAUGGUUAAGUGGGAAACGAUGUGGGAAGGCCCAGACAGCCAGGAUGUUGGCUUAGAAGCAGCCAUCAUUUAAAGAAAGCGUAAUAGCUCACUGGUCGAGUCGGCCUGCGCGGAAGAUGUAACGGGGCUAAACCAUG
This 872-nucleotide ribosomal RNA is filed under the name Salmonella enterica subsp. enterica serovar Oslo. RNAcentral describes it as "partial 23S ribosomal RNA". It matches the Rfam family "Bacterial large subunit ribosomal RNA", at positions 317 to 1191 of the family's 2925-position model. Lineage: Bacteria; Pseudomonadati; Pseudomonadota; Gammaproteobacteria; Enterobacterales; Enterobacteriaceae. The record is from RNAcentral.